This is an RNA transcript of Ruditapes philippinarum (Manila clam), 1229 nucleotides long. RefSeq lists it as uncharacterized. The record is from RefSeq and is a predicted model, not a curated record. NCBI's taxonomy places the organism in Eukaryota, Metazoa, Mollusca, Bivalvia, Venerida, Veneridae. The transcript is spliced from 4 exons.
AAUCAUUCUGCAAAAGGAGCGAAGGGAAUAUGGAUGUAAAUUUUAUUCGGAUAUUUGUUUUCAUAUUAAUCUACAAAAACAUCUCGGUGACCACUGGUUUGAAAAUUAGGACUGCCAGGUUUCGGAUACAUCGUAAGAGCCAUGACCUUACUAGAUGUGCAACGAAAGUCUUAAAUCAAGACAGUUCUGUUGGUGGCAGAGUAUCGGACCAAUCAGGUGCCUGCGAAAUAGUAUAUGCCUUAAAUCAAAAUCAAACAAAGGAACCAGGAUACGGAUAUUUCGAAAAAGUGACUGUUAAAACAGACUUCAAACCAGCGGAUAGACGACAAGAAGAGAGAUUCACUAAUUACUAUUUACAAAAAUGCUGAGGUACAAUACACCGUCGAUUUCGAUUUAGAAACCAUGUGUCCAUUACCUGAUUGCAUGUUUACAGUUAUUUUCAAAGGCAGACAAAUAGAGAUUCUCGUCGAUGACCAACAAGUGCAAAACGGCACUUUUGAUUUUGAGGAGGCGUUUUUGAGACAGAUGAAGCGUGUAAAACUUUACUCAACCAUAAAUGAUGUUCAAACCAAUGGUUUUGAGAUGAUUCUGUAGGUGAAAUAUAGAAAUGAGCGUAUGACUUGAAAUAAUAACCUAAACGGCUAAAACAGAAAUGUCAAUAAUCACGAAAUCAUAUUUUUUUUUAAUUUUAUCUAGAAAUGACGUAGAAUAAUUAUUUUUAAAGCGGCAUAAUGAUUAAAGAUAGCUACAUGUUUAACAUAUGAUAAAAUAACAAAACAAACAUUUACCACUCACCUCUACAAAAGCAAUGCAGAAAUUAAAAUGAAAAUUGUCAAAGUAAAUAUUAUAUUUGUUUCCAUUUCAAAAGAAAAAAAAAAGAACAAUUUAAAGAAGAAACCAAUUUUUGCAUAUAUAUUUACAAGUAAUACUUUCAGUUUUCUUUAUCUCACAUAUUUUUUCUCGAAAUAAUCUAAAUCAAUCCAACUAAAAUACUUUAAUAACGUAGAGCAAACACCUUUAUUUCAAAUAAAAUCUUCUACACUUUCACUUGCUUUGAUGGAAAUUCUCAUAGUUUAUCAUCAUUUACAUUUAAUCCCUACCCCUAUCCCUUAACCUACAUAUCUUUUUUAAAAUGGACUUGUCCAGUUUCUAUUUUAUUCGGGAAAACAGGGUGAAAUGUGAAGUUGGUCAGCCUUGGACUAGCCGGACUGAAUCGAUUUACAGUCUGG